GAUAACAGUAGAAAAUAUGUUAUUUGGACCUUUAGAAUUAAAAGAAUAUACUAAAAAUAAUAAAAUAUUUUGGAUAUAUUAUUAUAAAGCAAAAAUAGAAUAAGAAAGACUUCUAAAAGAGCUCCUAACAAUCUCUUAUAAGAAUGUGUCAAAGAUUUAAAAAAAAAAAAAAAAAAAAAAAAAAAAAAUCAACAAAUCAACAAAUCAACAAAUUGGUGACGUACUUUGCUAGAUGGGUUUGAAUUGCGUAUGUUCUAGUCUAGACAAUUUUGGACCGAGCAAGUUAUAUCAAUAAUGUUAAAUGGACAAGGUAUGAAGCACUAAAAUUUGAAUGUAACAAAAUUAGUGAGGGCAACAAGACGAGGUGGUGCAAAGUGUAGUAUAUAGUAGAUAAGGAAGUCGAAUAGUGGAUGAUUUGGUAGGAGACAUGUAUGCUGCCUAAAGUGUUUGUGCUGAGGGAGAAGUGAGAAUAGCUGAAUAAAGUAGCAAUUUGUGCCAAAGUUGGAUGAAAAAUCAAAUAUGAUCUAGUUUCAUGAGAUAAGUGGGAGACUCUAAGAAGAAGAAUGUGAGGAUUAUAGCAAAAUAAGAUUGUUGGUCAUAGGGCAUAAGAGUAAAUCCAGAUCAGUAGAAAAAGUUGCUAAUUAGGAAGAAGAAGGGGUGCUACUUUUAAAAGAGUUCAAAUUGACUAAAGAGAAGCAAUGUUGGUGCUACGUUGGAUUGAUAUUGAUGGAUCUAAGCUGUGUAGUUGUUUCAAAGGAGGCAGUGAGAUGAAGGCGUUCCUAUCAAAGGAAAUUAGAGGAGUGGCUUUGCAGAGGCGUGGAGACAAUUUACUAGCAUUAAAGAGAGGACAUGACUUAGGACUUAAUGACCAUGUUAGAUUGGUCGAGAUUUGCUAUGUCGUUGCAAGGUGAUAGUUGAUUUCUAGUAGUGGUUCGACAACAAGUUUGGAAGGAUUCUUAUAUAUAUUUUUUGGUGUAAUAAUAAGCAAUUGUGGUGUUGUGAUUAAUGUUUUAGUAUGGUUGUUUCUUUGUUGAAAAAAGUGAUGCAUGUAAGAACUCUCAUGAGCUGAUUCUUGGAUAGUUUAAAUAAAU
Molecule: long non-coding RNA, 1091 nt
Filed under: Physcomitrium patens
Lineage: Eukaryota; Viridiplantae; Streptophyta; Bryopsida; Funariales; Funariaceae
Description: long non-coding RNA (PPAT_LNC011800)
Source: RNAcentral